CCUACGGGUGGCAGCAGUGGGGAAUAUUGGGCAAUGGGCGCAAGCCUGACCCAGCAACGCCGCGUGAAGGAAGAAGGCUUUCGGGUUGUAAACUUCUUUUCUCAGGGACGAAGCAAGUGACGGUCCCUGAGGACUAAGCCACGGCUAACUACGUGCCCGCAGCCGCGGUAAUACGUAGGUGGCAAGCGUUAUCCGGAUUUACUGGGUGUAAAGGGCGUGUAGGCGGGAAAGCAAGUCAGAUGUGAAAACCCUCAGCUUAACUGAGGAACUGCAACUAAAACUAUUUUUCUUGAGUGGUGGAGAGGAAAGUGGAAUUCCUAGUGUAGCGGUGAAAUGCGUAGAUAUUAGGAGGAACACCAGUGGCGAAGGCGACUUUCUGGACAGUAACUGACGUUGAGGCACGAAAGUGUGGGGAGCAAACAGGAUUAGAUACCCCUGUAGUC
This 443-nucleotide ribosomal RNA is filed under the name uncultured bacterium. Its description in RNAcentral is "partial 16S ribosomal RNA". It matches the Rfam family "Bacterial small subunit ribosomal RNA", at positions 338 to 795 of the family's 1533-position model. The record is from RNAcentral.